GAAUGUUAAUUAAGAGAGAUAUGAGGAAGAUGAUUUCUACAAAGUUUGGCCAAGUACUAAUUGUGCUUCUUCUUCUUCUUCUUUGCACCCACCUUUGCCUUACCGAGUCAGCUCUUCCUUCUGGUCAUCAACCAUUCCUUCGAACAGGGAGGAGAAUGAUGAGUUAUUAUAAGAUGAUUGAAGGACCAGUGAGACCAUCGCAGAGCCAAACAGCUGGUGGAAAAAUUUCUAAUGAUGAUGAUCCUUCCACUCCCACCGAUUAGAAAUUUUUAAAUUUUAACUUUAUGUUGCUUUUGCAUCAACAAUUCACAGUUUACGUGAUAUUUAUGUUUUUUAAUUAAAUCAUUUUCAUUGUAAGAACAUUUGAACUUCGUGUACUAUAAUGUCAUGCUAUUUUCCAUAA
This is a long non-coding RNA of Capsella rubella, 403 nucleotides long. RefSeq lists it as uncharacterized. The record is from RefSeq and is a predicted model, not a curated record. Lineage: Eukaryota; Viridiplantae; Streptophyta; Magnoliopsida; Brassicales; Brassicaceae. The transcript has 2 exons.